Molecule: ribosomal RNA, 435 nt
Filed under: uncultured bacterium
Lineage: Bacteria
Description: partial 16S ribosomal RNA
Rfam family: Bacterial small subunit ribosomal RNA
Source: RNAcentral
GAUGAACGCUGGCGGUAUGCUUAACACAUGCAAGUCGAACGGACUCUUCGGAGUUAGUGGCGGACGGGUGAGUAACGCGUGAGAAUCUGGCUUUGGGUUCGGGACAACCACUGGAAACGGUGGCUAAUACCGGAUGUGCCGAGAGGUAAAAGAGAAAUUGCCUGAAGAUGAGCUCGCGUCUGAUUAGCUAGUUGGUGAGGUAAAGGCUCACCAAGGCAGCGAUCAGUAGCUGGUCUGAGAGGAUGACCAGCCACACUGGGACUGAGACACGGCCCAGACUCCUACGGGAGGCAGCAGUGGGGAAUUUUCCGCAAUGGGCGAAAGCCUGACGGAGCAGUACCGCGUGAGGGAAGAAGGCUCUUGGGGUGUAAACCUCUUUUCUUAGGGAAGAACAAAAUGACGGUACCUAAGGAAUCAGCAUCGGCUAACUCCGUG